Molecule: long non-coding RNA, 1103 nt
Filed under: Triticum aestivum (bread wheat)
Lineage: Eukaryota; Viridiplantae; Streptophyta; Magnoliopsida; Poales; Poaceae
Description: long non-coding RNA (TAES_LNC007880)
Source: RNAcentral
GCCCCGGAGUACAGGUACAGGACGUUGCCAGUUGCAUCUCUCUCUGACCUAAAGCCCGCCUUGGCAUGGAUGUGACCAGUGUUGAUCACCAACAUUGGCAAGCAUUGUAAGGUCCCUCUUUUUAUGUUUCUGGUACAAUAUACCACAUAUAUGUUCACAUGCAGAAGAUAAAGAUCGACUAUUAUCGGCGGUUAUUUUACUUAGUUGUAGAUAUUGAAUAGUUUGUUUAAAAUUAUGAUAGUUUAAAAGAAGUAUUAUGGUGUAGUGCAGUAAUAAUUUUAAUUUAAACUGCAGACCUUACAUCAUAUAUUUUUUUGUGUAUGUGGGCAGUGUGUUCAAGUUGAUCUGGAACAAUUUGAAGGGUUUCCUUGACACAAAAUCUCCAGCCAAGGUUUACUUAAGCACCUCAAAUUAUGUAUAGAAGUUUAAAAUUGUAAUUGUUUCAGGUUCUUCGCCACAUUCUGUAUGCUUUGUUAAUUUUUUUAAUAAUUGGACCUAUUUGCUAUGUGGAACAUGUAGCAUUUACUUGAUCAUAAUCUAAUUCAAUUUUUGACCACCGUCUUUUGGCUCUUGCUUUCAACAAUAUGCAGUAUCGGUUAGUCAUUUUCUUGACACAACACUUUUAGGCAACGGCUCAGACUUCUUGAGCCAUUCUCUAUUUAUUUUCGAUUCAUUUUUCAAAAUAAACAACCAAUGUUUCCUCCAUAUAUGCAUGACUCAAUGACACAAUGAAUUUUUUCCAGUCAACUGAUCAUCCUAAGCCUCAUCCUGUAUUCAAUACAUUUAUGUUCCAUUGCUAACCAAUGUUCAUUUGUGAUGUCUUUUCUUAGGAUGGAAAUGUUCCUCGGCACCAUGACGAACAUCAACGGAGGAACAACCUUUUUAUUUUAUUUUCUGUUGCCUCUACUGUAUUGUUGCUGCCACAAAGAUUUACCUGGACACGGAGCCAUCAUGAUGUGUUUAAAAAUGAUUACAUUAUCCUUUUCUAACCUGUUGGUGUUAGAGACAUCUUAGCAUUCAAGCAGGUUUAGUUCAUUGUUCUUUAAUUCCUAUUAUGUAAAAAAAUCACUGAUCAUCGCUUGACAGAAAAUAUUUUGAUAUGC